CACAAAUGACGCCGCUGGAAGCUCAUUUCAAUGACAGCUUUCCUUUGCUCCGGCUUUGGGUUAUUAAUCUUGUCGGAGAUCGAUUUAGUGACGAGCUCCUCUUGAUCAGCUCGCAAAGGUAACUUAAUUGAUAAGCAAUUACUUUGUAAAUAAUAGAUUUGUCUGAGACCAAUACACUGAGAAUUGUAAAUAAACUUGAAUAUUUUUCCUUAUUUUUUGGUUACAAUCUUUUUCAUUACUAAAUUAAAAUCACCAAAAAAUAAAACACUCUCUCUUUGUAAAAUCAAACAGUUGAACAUGUAAAUUAUAACAUAGUAGCUCUUGGUAAAUGAAUAAUGAGAUGGUGUGAAUGAAGAUGAUGAUUGAUAAUAUACACAAGAGGGUAAAUUGGUACAAACAUGUAAAAGUUUAACAUGAAAGCUACAAUAAAAUUCUUGGUUGCCAAUAAUAUUAUGUUAUUAUUGACAGUUUUACAAAAAUAUCCUUAUUGGGUUAUGUUGUUAAAGGUAGGACAAUUCUGACAAUCAGUUAAAAAUUAAUGAUUGUUUGGUCAUUUGAAGUUCCCAAUCAAUCAUUGAAGCCAAAUGUUUAAACAAGAUAUGGCAUAAAAAUUUAAAUAAAAUGACCAGAAAAUCCUUAACAAUAAAUUUAUUACUCUAAGUGCACAUGUCGACUAGGUGUGUGCUUAUUCCCCUUUAUUAUAGAGUAUAUAUAGAAAUGAUAACAUAAAUUAUUUGUAAAGUACAUUUAUUGUGGUUAUAUAAUAGCCUAUAUUGUAUUAUUGAUAUUCUGAUCAAAUAUUAAUUAUUAUUUUUAAAUAAGCUUUUCACGUUUUAUUUUUUAAAAUUUUUCUGACCAAAUCUUAAGAUAUAGUCUGGUCAAAUAAUAGUCCGCUCAAAUCUUAAGAUAUAGUGUGGCUAAAUAAUAGUCUGCAUUAAUUAUUCUUGAAAUCUUGACCAAAUAUUAAUUAUUAUUUUUAGAUGUAUUUUUUAAUGUUUCACUUUUUUAAACUUUUCUGACCAAACUUCAAGAUAUAGUGUGGUUUAUAGUCCACAUUAAUUAUUCUUGUAUUCUUGAAAGCUUGAGCAAAUACUGAUUAUUGUUUUUAGAUAUGUUUUUUCACGUUUUACUUGUUUAAACUUUUCUACCUAAAUAGCAAGGUAUAGUGCGGUCAAAUAAUAACAUAUACUAAUUAUUCUUGUAUUCGUGAGAUCUUGACCAAAUACUAGCAUAUAUAUAGAUUUUCCCUUGAAAAACAAAUUAGCAAUAACCCUCCCUGUGUCUUUUUCUGCUUCACAAAAUUUCCUCACAUGAAAAAAGCUUCACACCAUCAUUUUUACUAGGAAGUUUAAUUUUUUUUUCCAGUUUUAGCUGUUCCGUAUUUUUUUGUUGUUUCAAAAAAAUCUCCUAUCACAUCUUUGAUAUUAUAUUCAUUGAAUAUGACAUCGAUUUCAGUAGUACUUUCAGUCUGAAAGAAAAAAUUAUUUAGUUCAAGAAAAGCAUUUUUCUUUUGUGCAAGAAAUUUUGAUUGAUUGUGAAAAAAGUUUUAAGGAAGAAAAAAGGACUAUCGAAGAGAAGUAUAAAAAAGGUAAUAAAAGAGUGCCUUAAGGACUAUAAAGAGAAAAUGGAUUUGCUAUAUGAGAAAUUUGAUGAAUUAAAAAAUGCGAAAAGUGAAAAAGAAGCUUACUAUAAGGAGAAAUUCAGCGAGUUGAAGAAUAGAGUUCCUCUUUUGAUGGAAAAUAAGAGAAAAAUGAAGAAGGUAUUACUGUUAUGUGAAUUCAGGUCUAUUAUUUUUGUUUUUUUUUGCUUUUGUUUUCUCCUUACAACUUGUUAUUUAUUAUUUUAUAAUGUAUUUUAUUGUUUUGAUAAUAGUUAAUGGUAGAUCUUGAUUUUAUUGUAUCUGCAAAACCCAUUUUAAUUAUUUGUGGAUUCAAACUUAUUUAUUAAUCGAAUGCCAUAAAUAAUUAAAAUAGAUUUUGCAGAUGUAGAAAAAUCAAGAUCUACCAUUAACUAUUAUCAAAACAAUAAAAUACAUUAUGAAACUAUACAUAACAAGUUGUAAGGGAAAAAUAAAGGGAAAAGGACCAUGGGCUAGCCACUUUUAAAUAAAAUGACCGAUAAUUGAAAAGGUGGACAACUUAGGUCUGUCGGCCCAAUUUAAUACCCUUUUUUAGCCAUUUGGCCCAAUUUGGCCCAAAAAGGACUUAGUCAUAUUUUGAGCCCUUAACUUCAACGAUUUUUAAAUUAACUUUUCCGACCCCAAGACAUAGAUUUUUGAGUUGAUUCAUGUUCGAGGGUGUAAAGGAAAUGUCUCAAAGGAGUUUUGGAUUUUUCAAAUGAGGUUUGAGACAUGUUUGGAUUCCCAAACUAGUAGGCCACCACAAUUGCACUGUGUCGCGGUGCCUAUAGCAGUAAGCCACUUGGCACGUCGCGGCAAGCCCCAAAUCGAUUUUCUACUCAAAGUUUUAAAACCGAGGGGCAGUCUCAUCUUUUCCCUAUAGCCCCAAGUUGUGAAAAUAGAAGAUUAAAACGUUUAUAGAGCAUUAUAGGAUCAAAAGUGAUCAGUUUUUCUCAAAAACAAAGCCCUAACCCUUCCCCAAAGAUCAAAAGUUCAAUCUUUAAGUUCAAGAUUUCCAAUAAAGGAAUCAAUAUUUGGGCUCUACUCUUCGAAAGAAGUAAUCUAAGGUAUGUGGGACUACCCUAAACUCCAUGGAUAUAAGUUUUCUUGUUUUUACCAAGUUCAAAGAAUCUAUAACCUUGUUUACAAAGCAUGUUUGAUAUUAUUUCGAAAAACAGGUAUCAUGGAAUUGUUUUAAUGAAAGCACGUGAUGUCUUGAACUGAUUUUCACGAACCUUAAAUGUUAUUAUGUAUAUAUAUAAUUUCAUUUGUAAUGAAAAUUUUAAUAGAGAGCAUGAUUUAUGAGAUCUCCCUCGCAAAUGUGGAUUUUACAUGAUUUAUGUGAUAUGUGCAUUCACUUUCAUGUUUUAAACUUCAUUGUCAGUUAAUGGUUAUCAAAACUUGGGUUGAGGUUGUUUGUAGAUUUAUGAGAGGGAGUCUUUUUACCUUCACUAAACCCUUUGCAUGAAAACGAAGUAUUUCAAGAUUAAAUAAUUGACAUGACCAUCACAUGCUUAAGUCAUAAAUCUUUUAGGUGGUUAUUUGCAUGUUUGGAAUUAGAAAGGCUGUGGAAUUGCUAUGAAUGACUUGCAAGUCUGGGUAUGGCGAUACCCGGUGAUGGUGAGCCCUUAAUAAAAUAUGUGUUGAAUGUUGUAAAGGCAUGAAAACAUGGUUUUAAGGAAAUAAAAUUUGGGUAUAGAAGGGGUUAGAUGGUUACCCGAAGAAAGCACGAGUCGUGAGACUCAAUGCUGGAAAUUGUGAUUUACCGACAUAGGGUUACGGUACCCUGCUUUGUGGUCUGGUGUACCUUGAUUCGUGUCGUCCCAACUUGAGAUUAAGGUUAGGAUCCCUAAUUUGUGGAUUGGUGCACUACCAUGACAUAUCGAUUUGAUUGGGAAUAUGACACCAUGUUGUGUGGUCUUGCAUGUAUCCUUUACUAACACAACAAUCCUUGUGAAAAACUUGGAUUAGGGGCUUGGCCACCGAAUUAAUGAAGGAUUCCAUAUAUCCCGUGGGAUGAUUAAGAUUGUAGGGUGUACCAUCUAGCUCAUAAAUAAAUAAAUAGAGAAUAAGCCACGAUUUCUAAGAAUUAUUGAUGUCCUUAUUCGUAUGCCUAUGUGUUUUUCACUUAUGGAUUAUGCUCAUUGUUUUUUAAAAUGCUCUCAUUUAUGUUGUAUAAAAAUACGUUCUUUAGGGGUGUUUCACAUACCAGUACAAUUAUAUUGACUCCCUAUAUUUCAAGAUCUGAGGCCCAGUCCCGGGGUUCCACUAAGCAAUAAAUUUGUGUGUCUGAGAUUUGCAAUUGGUGAGCCUCUCCUAUUUCGGAAGGCGCGCAUAUAAAACAUUGUUAUUUAUUUGAUUCAUGAUCUGACUAGGGGCCUUCUCCCAAUUUUGUUUUUGGACAUAUAUUGAAUCUUGUAAUGUUAGAGAUUUCUCAGACGGGUGUUAUGUGUUUUGAACAUUAAGGAUUCCUUUCGAAUUGUAUAGUUUAAUUAUGACAUUGACCAUGUUUUCGUAUGAAUAUUUUCCGUAUUUCUUUAUAUUGCAUGAAUAUUGUGCAUGAUUUCCAGAUAGAUAGGGGUGCUCGGGCCUCUAUGGUUUGGGAUGCUCGUAGUGGAUAGGGUGUCGGCUCAGGUCAUGACAAACUUGGUAUCAAAGCACGGUUCAUGGUCCCAGAAUGUCUGAAAAUCAUGUCGGGUAGAGUCAUAUUUAUAGGUAUGUAGUGUGUCAGGCUUAAAAGUAGAAGGCUAUAAGGCAUUUAGAAAAGUCUCUCUCCUUUUCAUGAUUUAGUUCGUGCUAUAGAGUCUGAAUGUUAUCUAAUCAAUGAUUUCUUGUAGUUCAAAAAUUUAUCAUUCCUCUAUGUCGAUCCAACGAACAGAGGAUGUACUCCCUACCCAUGGGAUAUGGACACAUAAUAGAACUCGUACUUCAGAGUUUGUUGCUACUCUGAGAGUUUCUCAUGUUGAGAUUAGUCCACUUAGAGCUUCUCGAUCUAGAGCUAACCGUACUCAACCUUCCCAGAGAAAAGUAUCUAAUGCCGAGUUCCGACAGUCUAUGCAUGUGAUAGCUCAGUUGGUGGCUUCUCAGACCUGUUGGUCUGAAGAUAUGGGGUCUGUUUCUAGUUCAUCUGAGAUUACCCGGGUUGGCCAAUUCAUGAGGCUAAACCUACCUAUGGUUACUGGUAUGAAGGUUGAUGAAGACCCCCAAGGGUUCAUUGAUAAAUUGGAGAAAAUUUUUAGGGUUAUACAUGUGAAUGAGGUUGAAUGGGUUGAAAUGGUAGCCUAUCAAUUGAAAGAUGUAGCCAAUCAGUGGUAUUAUGAAUGAGAGGAUUCUAAGGGUAAAGACACUGAGCCUUCGGUGUGGGGUGAGUUUGUGGAAGCUUUCCUGGAUUGUUUCUUCCCCAGGAAUUGAAAAAAAUCAAAGGAUGAAGAAUUCAUGAACUUGAAACAAGGGAAAAUGAGUGUUAAAGAGUAUAUGUUGAAGUUUACCCUGCUAUUCUGUUAUGCCCCAAAAUUAGCGGGUAACGUGAGAGCCCAAAUGAGAAAGUUUACAUCUGACCUCUCGGAUGAUCUGGUGUUAGAAUGCAAGGGAGAAAUACUGAAUAAGGAUAUGGAUUUCUAUCAAUUAUUCAUUCACAUGCAGCAGGUUGAAGAGCAGAAGAAAAGACUGGCAGAGGCAAGGGAGAAAGAUAGCCAGGCCUAGAGAGCCAGGUCUACAAACCAGAAUAACAGUCAGCACCAAGGUGGUAACUGAGGUAACAAGUGGUCGAAGAAAAAUUUUUAGAGUAAUGCUCAGUCUCAGUCAGUUCCCCAGUACCCAUACCUUCAGUUGAUUGGUGAUUUCAAAAUUUUUAGCCCAACAAUGGAUCAAGGGUAUAGGUUACUCAGUCUCAGGUGAGUGUGACUCAGUCAUUUAGGCAGCAUCCUUGUUGUGGUAAUUAUGGAAGGAACCAUUCAGGGAAGUGUUAUUCCGAGAUUUGGACAUGUUAUCCGUACGGCCAAGUGGGCCAUAUUCAGAGGGACUGUCCUUCAUCUAGAGGGAAUUUUGGUGGUUCCAAGGCCCAAGCAAAUUCCUUAGAACCACCACCACUACCCAAGGGUACCACUUUAACUACCAGGGGCAGUCAUAAUCACUUAUAUACUUUAUCAAACCUCCAUGAUGUAAAGGCUUCACUAGAUAUUGUGAUGGGUACGUUAUAAAUUUUCUUUCGUAGUGUAUAUGUGUUGCUUGAUCCAGGAUCUAACUUGUCUUAUGUGACACCGUAUGUGGCUAUUAGUUUUGAUUUUGAGCCUAAAAUUAUUUCAGAACCUUUCUCUGUUUCCACUCAUAUUGGCGACUUUAUUGUGGCUAUAAGGGUGUAUAGAAAUUGUGUUGUGUCUAUCUAUAAUCAUGAUAUUGUGGCGAAUCUGGUAGAGCUAGAUAUGAUUGACUUUGAUGCUGUUUUAGGAAUGUAAUGGCUCCAUUCGUGUUAUGCCAUACUAGACUGUAGAACCAAAAUAGUCACUUUCUAUAUUCCAAAGAAACCAGUGAUAGAGUGGGAGGGGUAUUCUCUAUCACCUAGGGAAAAGUUCAUAUCUAAUCUCAUAGCCAGCAAACUUAUAUCUAAGGGUUGUUUGUAUCAUCUUAUUCGGGUCAAAGAUUCUAGUACUGAAAUUCCUUCCCUCCAGCUUGUCCCUAUAGUUAAUGAAUUCAUGAAAGUCUUUCCCGAUGAUCUCCCAGGGAUACCAACUGAUAGGGAGAUAGAUUUUGGCAUCGACUUGUUUCUGGACACUCGUUCUAUCUCUAUUUCACCAUAUAGAAUGGCUCCUGCAGAAUUGAAAUAGUUGAAAGAACAGUUAAAGGACCUUCUUGAUAAAGGCUUUAGUUAUCCAAGUGUUUCUCCCUUGAGUGCUCCAGUGCUCUUUAUGUAUAAUAAAUAUGGUUCACUCCGUAUGUGUAUAGACUACCGUCAACUUAAUAAGGUUACUGUCAAGAAAAAGUACCCUCUUCCCAGAAUCGAUGAUUUAUUUGAUCAACUCCAAGGUGCCAAAUAUUUCUCAAAGGUAGACCUUCAUUCGAGGUAUUAUCCAUUGAAGGUUGGGGAGGCUGAUAUUCCCAAAACAGCUUUUCGAACCUGAUGUGGCCAUUAUGAAUUCCUGGUUAUGUCCUUCGGACUGACUAAUGCCCCUACAAUUUUUAUGGACCUAAUGUAUAGGGUGUUCCAUCAGUUUCUAGAUUUAUUCGUUAUAAUUUUCAUUUAUGAUAUUCUGGUUUACUCUAAGAUUGAAGAGGACCAUGCCAUCCACCUCUGAAUUAUCCUUCAGACCCUCAAAGAUCAUGAAUUAUAUGCAAAGUUUUCCAAAUGUGAAUUCUGGCUUAGUGCUAGUGCUUUCCUGGGGCAUAUCAUUUCUAGUGAGAGGAUUAAGGUUGACCCCCAAAAGGUUGAGGCAGUGAGAAAAUAGCCCAUACUCACGACUCCAACCGAUAUCCGGAGCUUCUUGGGUUUAGCAGGGUAUAACAGAAGGUUCAUAGAGAGUUUUUCCUCCAUAGCUUCUCAACUUACCAAAUUGAUGCAGAAAAAGGUGAAAUUCUUGUGCUCUGACUCCUGUGAGAAUAGUUUUGAGAAACUGAAAGACAAGUUGACCACCGCACCAGUUUGACCCUUCCCGAGGGUAUAGAGGGUUUUAUUAUGUACUGUGAUGUAUCCCGAGUGGGACUUGGGUGUGUAGUUAUGCAGCACGGUAAGGUGGUAGCUUAUGCAUCUAGGCAGUUGAAGGUGCACAAGUGAAAUUAUCCCACGCAUGACUUAGAGUUAGCGGUUGCGGUGUUUGCAGUUAAAAUCUGGCAGUGUUAUCUUUAUGGGGUGCAUGUAUAUGUAUUCACUGAUCACAAAAGUUUUCAAUAUGUUUUCCCACAAAAAAAACUGAAUCUUGGGCAGAGGCAUUGGUUGGAACUAUUGAAGGAUUAUGGCAUGAGCCUACAUUAUCAUUUGGGCAAGGCGAACAUGGUAGCCGAUACCCUUAGCAGGUUGUCAAUUGGUAGUUUUACUUAUGUUAAGAAAGGGCAAAGAGAGAUGGUGAAGGAUAUUCACCGACUUAUAAAUUUGGGAGUUGGACUUCUAGAUUCUGAAGAUGGGGAAGUAUUCGUUCAUGAGAUAGCUAAAUCCUCCUUAUGUGCUGAAGUUAAGGAAAAGCAGGUCGAAGACCCUAUCUUGAUGCAGAUUAAGAAAAAUGUUGGUCAACAGAAAGUGAUGGCAUUUGAAAUUGGAGGUGAUGAGAUUUUGAGGUAUUAGGGUAGGCUAUAUGUAUUGAACAUGGAUGGUUUACGAGAUAGGAUUCUAGAUAAAGGUCACACUUCGAGGUAUGUUGUUCACCCAGGAUCUACGAAAAUGUAACAUGACCUUAAGGCUAUCUAUUGGUAGAAUAAUAUGAAAAAAGAUGUGGCUAAUUUUAUUUCUAAGUGUAUGAAUUGUCAACAAGUCAAGGUAGAAUAUUUGAGACCGGGUGGCACUUCCCAAGAGAUAACUUUGCCUAUGAGUUAGAUUUUCCCGCGAGUAUGGCUUCCGUACAUCCAAUAUUACAUGUGUCCAUGUUGAAAAAGUGCAUUGGAGAUCAUUUUUUAGGGUUUCCAGUAGAAGACAUCAAUGUAAAAGACUCCUUGUCAUAUGAAGAAAGACCCAUUAACAUUCUGGAUCAUCAAGUUAGGAAGCUGAGAAGUAUGGACAUAGCUUCAGUUAAGGUGUUAUGGAAGAAUCAAAAGGCUGAGAAAGCUACUGGGGAGUCAAAAAAUGGUAUGCGUACUAGAUACCUAAACCUUUUUGAGAAUGUGGAUGACAACAUAAAAGGUACAAAUCCUAUAAGACUCUCUUUAUUUCUUCCUUAGCGUGCUUGAAAUCGUGUUUGUCUGUGUCCCGAUCCAUCAUUCGGGGAUGAAUGAUACUAAAGGGGGAUAAUUUAAUACCCAGUAACAUUCUCUUCUUGAUAACACACUUAGUAGAAUUCAUGGGUAACUACCCAGUAACAUUCUCUUCUUGAUAACACACUUAGUAGAAUUCAUGGGUAACUUGCAACCUGAAGAUUUAUCUAAAUGUUUAAAAGGACGUAGUUAUAUUUUGAGUCCUUAACUUCAAAGAUUUUUAAAUUGAUCUUAUGACCCCAAGACAUAGAUUUUUGAAUUGAUUUAUGUUCAGAAGUGUAAAGGAGGUGUCUCGGGGGAGUUUCAAAUUUUUUGGACGAGAUUUGAGAUGUGUUUGGAUUCCAAAUCAGUAGGUCACCUCGAUUACACCGUGUCGUAGUGCCUAUAGCGGUAAGACACUUGGCGUAUCGCGGCAAGGCCCCAAAUCGGUUUUCUGCUGAAAUUUUUAAAAACUAAGGGGCAGUCUUAUUUUCUCCCUAUAGCCCCAAGUCGUGAAAAUAGAAGAUUAAAACGUUUAUAGAGCAUUAGAGGCUCAAAAGUAAUUAGUUUUUUCUCAAAAACAAAACCCUAACCGUUCCCCAAAGAUCAAAAGUUCAAUUUUAAAGUUCAAGAUUUCCAAGAAACGAAUCAAGAUUCAGGUUCUACUCUUCGAAUUAAGUAAUCUAAGGUAUGUGUGACUACCCUAAACUUCAUGGGCAUAAAUUUUCUUGUUUUUAUCAAGUUCAAAGAAUCUAUAACCUUUUUUACAAAGCAUGUUUGAUAUUACUUCAAAAAGCAAGUAUCAUGGAAUUGCUUUGAUGAAAGAAUGUAAUGUCUUGAACUGAUUUUCACAAAACUUAAAUGUAAUUAUGUAUAUAUAUGAUUUUGUUUCUAAUGAAAAGUUUAAUAGAGAGCAUGAUUUAUGAGUCCUCCCUUAUAAAUGUAGAUUUUACAUGAUUUAUGCAAUAUGUGCAUUCGCUUGCAUGUUUUGAACUUCAUUGUCAAUUGAUGGUUAUCCAAACAUGGGUUGAGGUUGUUUGUAGAUUUAUGAGAGGGAGUCUUUUUUCUUUAACUAAACCCUUUGCAUGAAAACGAAGUAUUGCAAGAGAUUUAAUAAUUGACAUAACCACCGCAUGUUUAAGUCAUAAAUCUUUUGGAUGGUUAUUUGCAUGUUUAGAAUGAGAAGGGCUGUGGAAUUGGUAUGAAUGACUUACAAGUCUGGGUCUGACGAUACCCAGUGAUGGUGCGCCCUUAAUAGAAUAUGUGUUGACUUUUGUAAAGGCAUGAAAGCAUGGUUUCAAAGAAAUAAAAUUUGGUGAUAAAAGGGUUAGAUGGUUACCUGAAGAAAGCACGAGUCGUGAGACUCAAUGUUGGAAACUAUGAUUUGACGACGUGGGAUUACAGUACCUUUCUUUGUGGUGUGGUGUACCUUGAUUCAUGUCAUCCCAACCUGGGAUUAAGGUUAGAAGCCCAGCUUUGUGGACUGGUGUACCUUGAUUCAUGUCGUCCUAACCUGGGAUUAAGGUUAGAAGCCCUGCUUUGUGGAAUGGUGCACUAGCAUGACAUGUUGAUUUGAUUGGGAAUAUGACACUAUGUUGUGUGGUCUUUUGUGUCUCCCUUACCAAUACACCAAUCCUUGCGACAAACUUGGAUUGGGGGCUUGGCUGCUGAGUUAAGGGCAGAUCCCAUAUAGCCCAUGGGAUGAUUAGGAUUGUAGGGUGUACCAUCUAAUUCAAAAAUAAAUAGAGAAUGAGCCACGAUUUUCAAGAAUUGUUGAUGUCCUUAUCCGUAUGCCCAUGUGUUUUUCAUUUAUGCAUUAUGGUCAUUAUUUUAUAAAAUGCUCUCAUUUAUGUUGUAUAAAAAUACAUUAUUUUUGGGUUUUCUACAUACCAUUACAAUUGUAUUGACCCCUAUAUUUCAGGAUCUGAGGCUCAGUCCCGGGGUCCCGCUUAGCGGUAGAUUGGUGUGUCUGAGAUUUGCAAUUGGUGAGUCUCCCCUAUUCCGGAAGGCCGAGCUUAUAGAACAAUGUUAUUUAGUUGAUUCAUGGUCCGACUGAGGGGCUUGUCCCAGUUUUGUUUUUGGACAUAUGUUGAAUCUUUUAAUGUUAGAGAUUUCGCAGACGAGUGUUAUGUGUUUUGAACAUUAAGGAUUUCCUUUCGAAUUGUCUAGUUGAAUUAUGACAU
Molecule: long non-coding RNA, 10674 nt
Filed under: Capsicum annuum
Lineage: Eukaryota; Viridiplantae; Streptophyta; Magnoliopsida; Solanales; Solanaceae
Description: long non-coding RNA (CANN_LNC015100)
Source: RNAcentral